Long non-coding RNA from Triticum aestivum (bread wheat), 1057 nucleotides. RefSeq lists it as uncharacterized. The record is from RefSeq and is a predicted model, not a curated record. The transcript is spliced from 3 exons. NCBI's taxonomy places the organism in Eukaryota, Viridiplantae, Streptophyta, Magnoliopsida, Poales, Poaceae.
CUGGAGCCUUCUCCCCCUCCGUCAGCCCCUCCGUCAGCUCUCGUCACCGUGCGCCCACCGACGCACUGUGGCCGACCGAGGCUUUAAUGGCGUUCGGCCGCUUCUCCUCUGCGCCCUCGGCCCCUCUCACCCUGUGUGCCUCUGUAGCUCGUCCGUUGACUUCCUCGUCGUGUUCCCGUGCUCGCCCGUGCUCGCUGAGCCCCGCCAGAGCUUUGGCCGAGCUCGAACGGCGGCACUCGGCCACAGCCUCCUCGCCCGGCUAUAUAUAGCCCUCCCCCGAGCCAUUCGAGCACACCAGCAGCCUCGCCUCACUACCAGCUCCCUCCCCAGCCUCUCGUUUGAGCUCGAGGAGCUCCCUGUGCCCACCAUGGACGCCAUGGCCGCCUCGGGUCUCCUCUCGAAUCCGAGCCAUCCGAGCCUUCCCCCUCCCUCCUGACCUCACCAUAGCUCCACCCGGACCCCGGAGAUCCUCCCCGUGUCCUCUCCCCACCGCCGGAGCCACCUUGGCCGCGUGCCCCAUGCUCAAUCACCGCCGGCGCCUCUAUGUUCCCCUCGCAACGCCGUCCCUCCCGCUCAUCUCUGGCGUCUCCUUCCCAUAAGGAUGGAUGCGGCACUCCUUUCCGGUCUCGCCGGUGGCCUCGGCUUGGCCGGAGGCGGCCUGAGCCGGCCGGGCCACCGCCGGCAUCGCGACCCCGCCCCUGCCUCCUCUGUUUCCCAUCGGGGUGUAGCGAGGAGGAAGAAGACAGGAGCCAGGCGGACCCCAUCUCCACGCGGCCCCACCUGUCGGUGGGUAGGCGUUGACCCCGCCUGCCUAGCUGGAUAAGUGACGGGCCCCACCCAGUGGGAUCCGCCCGUCAGCAACCGCGUGGCUGGUCCCGCCUCUGCUGACUGGCUCAGGGGCCUGUUUGUAGAGGGUCUUUUUACAUAUUGGUCCCUGGAUUUCAAACGCUUAUAUCUUUUUGCUCGAGACUCCGAUUGAGCCCCUGCGAGAGAGAACUGUUUCCGGCAAAUCUUUUCGCGGCUUCACCACACUUCUUCCCGGAGUAUUCUUCAUCCC